Molecule: transfer RNA, 72 nt
Filed under: Capra hircus (goat)
Lineage: Eukaryota; Metazoa; Chordata; Mammalia; Artiodactyla; Bovidae
Also listed under: 1 other name
Rfam family: tRNA
About the family: Transfer RNA (tRNA) molecules are approximately 80 nucleotides in length.
Source: Rfam by way of RNAcentral
UCCUUGGUGGCUCAUAUGGUAAAGCAUCUGCCUGCAACGUGGGAGACCCAGGUUUGAUCCCUGGGUUGGGAA